ACCCCGGGGUUUUGUCGAAAGUGCGGGCUCACGGAACCGGAAGUGGUGGCCGGGCUCGGGCCCUGUGUGGGCGGGGAGGCGGGGCGCGGCUAGAGGACCCGGCGUGCGGCAGCGCUCAGCUCCCUGCCUUAGAGACCCGGCGGCUUGAAGGAAACUAGGUGUGGCAGGCGCCAAGCCUCUGGGAGUUGAGGCACUGCGAGCCGCCCGCCGGGUUCCAACCCUCCAGCAAACGCGGAGGCUACAAAACACAGGGCCCAUGAUUUACCGAAGCCUCACGGUUUUGUUGGUUUUUGAGACCAAGAUGACUUCCCAUCCGACCGGAACAGUGAGCCUCUCAGGGGACAGUAGCAUGUAAGAAAGACUCAUGGACGGUUCUGAACUCAGACUGUCAAGCCCAACGGCAGCACCAUCACCAUUACAGCCAUUCGCCAGCCCAGACCUUCUUUUGUUUUCAUGAUCUUUUAUUUUUCAAGAAGUGUUCUCAAAUCUCGUAGAAAGCUUGUUUUAAAUUCACAAGCUUGAAAGUAAUGAGUAAAUGCCAAUGUUGAAGCUAUAGUUUUAUGAAAUUAACGUAUAGCCACGUUUAUAAUUAUAUAACUGAAACCUGACAUUGACAGAUUAAACAGUAAUGUGAUUUUGAUAAUACAUAUGGGGGAUGAGGUGAAUAGGAAUAAUUUUAUUCACCUGUUCUUACUCCAUGACCAGAAACACAAAGCAAGGGUGUAGUUCAGUGCUAGAGUGCUUCGCUAGCAAGUAUGAGGACUUAGAGAAAGUCCUUAGAGAAAGAAAGUCUAUGCUGCUGGUAAGAGAGCAUAGCUGGUAUGGUGUUUGCCAUAUAAGAAUGGUGAUUUAAGUUUGAUUCCAGAGCCCAGAUGAAAUUGCUAGGCAGAGUGGUAUGUCCUUGUAAUCCCAACUCUGGGAAGGCAAAGGCAGGUGGAGUCUUGGGGCUCCUAGCCAACCAGCCUAGCCAAAUUACAAGCUCCAGGUCAAUGACAGGACAAUUUCAAAAAAAAAAAAAAAAAAAAAAAGAA
Molecule: long non-coding RNA, 1031 nt
Organism: Psammomys obesus (fat sand rat)
Lineage: Eukaryota; Metazoa; Chordata; Mammalia; Rodentia; Muridae
Exons: 2
Source: RefSeq, a predicted model, not a curated record